CCUGAACGCUGGCGGCGUGGCUAAGACAUGCAAGUCGUACGGUGUAGCAAUACACAGUGGCGAACGGGUGAGUAAUGAAUCGCUAAUGUGCCCCGGACUCUGGGAUAGCUGACCGAAAGGGCAGGUAAUACCAGAUGAGACCACGAACAGGCAUCUGUUUGUGCUCAAAGGUCCGCCGGUCUGGGAGCAGGCGAUUUCGUAUCAGCUAGUUGGAGGGUAACGGCCUACCAAGGCGACGACGCGUAGCCGGACUGAGAGGUUGACCGGCCA
Molecule: ribosomal RNA, 270 nt
Filed under: uncultured bacterium
Lineage: Bacteria
Description: partial 16S ribosomal RNA
Rfam family: Bacterial small subunit ribosomal RNA
Source: RNAcentral